This 503-nucleotide ribosomal RNA is filed under the name uncultured Chitinophagaceae bacterium. RNAcentral's name for it is "partial 16S ribosomal RNA". Lineage: Bacteria; Pseudomonadati; Bacteroidota; Chitinophagia; Chitinophagales; Chitinophagaceae. The record is from RNAcentral.
CACGGAGUUAGCCGGUGCUUAUUCAUCAGGUACCGUCAACGGCGUUAGAAACACCGGUUUCUUCCCCAAUAAAAGAAGUUUACAACCCAGAGGGCCUUCAUCCUCCACGCGGCAUGGCUGGUUCAGACUUGCGUCCAUUGACCAAUAUUCCUUACUGCUGCCUCCCGUAGGAGUCGGGCCCGUGUCUCAGUGCCCGUGUGACUGGUCGUGCUCUCACACCAGUUACUGAUCGUCGGCUUGGUGGGCCAUUACCCCGCCAACUACCUAAUCAGCCGCACGCCCAUCUUUAAGUGCCGGAGCUUUAACAGCUGUGUGAUGCCACACCACUGUCUUAUGGGGUAUUAAUCCAAGUUUCCCUGGGCUAUUCCCCGCUUAAAGGAAGGUUGCGUACGUGUUCCGCACCCGUUUGCCGGUCGCCACCCAGUAUUGCUACCUGUGCUGCCCCACGACUUGCAUGUAUUAAGCCUGCCGCUAGCGUUCAUCCUGAGCCAGGAUCAAACUCU